ACGUUCGCUUUGCUCGAAAUCAGUUAUUUCCAUUUGGCCACGGGGGCUGUGGAUAGUAAACUCCGCCGAGUGGACCGUGAGCCGCAGUUGUGUCCGUUCUGGAGGCAGGAAAGACUAGACCCAUGAUGCAGAGCACCAGAAAAUAAGACUGAUAAUCAACAGACUUCAGAAUGGACAUAUUAGCCUUCUAGAAGUGCUAACUUCUGACCUAGACCUCACUGGUUCUGUGUGCACAGCUGAUCACUGUGGACAAUGCCUCGCCCCUGGUGGUGUAGUUACUGGUGCUCACGCCUGGAGUUCAAUCAGCGUUCUGAUUGUUACCUGUCCCAUGGCACCCAGACACUUCCGGGGAAGUACACGCAAUGCGGGUGCCUGACAAUGUGAGCACAAUACGGAGAAUUUAGAAUACAAGAAGAUGAAUCCUUAGCCAUCAUGUCUUACUCAGUGAUGGGAAGUUGUGCUCAUUUCUGGGCUUCACAACUUGAGAGAAACAGAGAACUUGGAGGGUCUUCAAAGGAAUCGUGACCCUGAAUACCUCAUUUGCAAGAUGGCAGAACUACCAUCAGCCUGGGUUCCUGAGUGGCCACAAGGAUCAGAGUUGCCUGCUGGCACGAAAUUCUGACCUUGGAGUUGUUACAUAAGAGAGGAAUAAAUUUCUUUGCUCUUUGA
This is a long non-coding RNA of Lutra lutra (Eurasian river otter), 669 nucleotides long. RefSeq lists it as uncharacterized. Lineage: Eukaryota; Metazoa; Chordata; Mammalia; Carnivora; Mustelidae. The record is from RefSeq and is a predicted model, not a curated record. The transcript has 5 exons.